AUUGAACGCUGGCGGCAGGCUUAACACAUGCAAGUCGAGCGGAGAUGAGGUGCUUGCACCUUAUCUUAGCGGCGGACGGGUGAGUAAUGCUUAGGAAUCUGCCUAUUAGUGGGGGACAACAUUCCGAAAGGAAUGCUAAUACCGCAUACGUCCUACGGGAGAAAGCAGGGGAUCUUCGGACCUUGCGCCAAUAGAUGAGCCUAAGUCGGAUUAGCUAGUUGGUGGGGUAAAGGCCUACCAAGGCGACGAUCUGUAGCGGGUCUGAGAGGAUGAUCCGCCACACUGGGACUGAGACACGGCCCAGACUCCUACGGGAGGCAGCAGUGGGGAAGAUUGGACAAUGGGGGGAACCCUGAUCCAGCCAUGCCGCGUGUGUGAAGAAGGCCUUAUGGUUGUAAAGCACUUUAAGCGAGGAGGAGGCUACUGAGACUAAUACUCUUGGAUAGUGGACGUUACUCGCAGAAUAAGCACCGGCUAACUCUGUGCCAGCAGCCGCAGUAA
RNAcentral lists this ribosomal RNA (501 nucleotides) under uncultured bacterium. RNAcentral's name for it is "partial 16S ribosomal RNA". It matches the Rfam family "Bacterial small subunit ribosomal RNA", at positions 30 to 523 of the family's 1533-position model. The record is from RNAcentral.